This is a non-coding RNA of Pelobates cultripes (western spadefoot toad), 209 nucleotides long. The record is from the annotation of a GenBank genome assembly. NCBI's taxonomy places the organism in Eukaryota, Metazoa, Chordata, Amphibia, Anura, Pelobatidae.
GUUAAAGUGGUCAUGGUGGUUGGAGUAAACCUUUAACUUCAGAUCUCCCAUUUAUUUUGCAUUGUGCAGAGAAGGAUUAAAAUCCCACAUGGCUAUAGCCAGGUUACAAUUUUGAAACCAUCCUUCAUUCUUCGCGUAGGGAUGGUAAAUGGUGCCGGACAAAUUGAUGGUUCUGGGGACCCGUCUAACCUCUGGGCCCUCUCCAGUUU